GUGUUUGUUUUCUCUUAAUAAAACAUGAGAAAUAAAUAAAUGCAAUUAGUUCUUAUAUUUUCUAGAACACUUCCAAUCCUAAGGUACGGCUUGACCAUCUUGGCCUCUGAGAUUUGGUUGCGCAGUAGCCUAACGCUGAUAACGCUCGGGAAAAACUCAUUUAAAUGGAAUCUCUCGUGGUGCUCGCAUCGGUGAUUUUAGUACGGAUAGACUGAACAUAAACACAAUCAUGCGCUGCGCACGUGAUUGUAUAAAACAGAGAGAGAUAGGCGCUGAUAACGUCUAGGGGACAAAAGAUGGUUCUCCGCUGCAGGUUUUGAAUUGUGGACGGGCCGCACUGUAGGUGUCGCUUCCGAGUUCCGAUUAAACCAAUCAGAGCAGUCCUAUCCACCUGCAAGUUAAUGAUCACGUGCGUGUCACGCUUCCAGUAUUGUUUUGUUUUAGUCU
Long non-coding RNA from Anthonomus grandis grandis, 447 nucleotides. RefSeq lists it as uncharacterized. The record is from RefSeq and is a predicted model, not a curated record. The transcript is spliced from 3 exons. NCBI's taxonomy places the organism in Eukaryota, Metazoa, Arthropoda, Insecta, Coleoptera, Curculionidae.